AAACUGCAAGUUUCUUCAUUCGUUGCAGUUUCGGAAAAUUUAAAGCAAUCCAACUGCUCCCGAAAACCACCAUAAUCCUCCGGCAAAUCUGCCGCAUCGACAUAUUCGUGUAAGGAAGCCCAGCAAGAUCCAUGGAAAGGCCAAAUAAUCGACAUUAGCAUGUCGACGAUCCAAUUUUGAUUUACGAUGUGGAUGGUUUGAAAGCUCAACGGAAAGGCUUCCUGUGAUAUAACGAACAUUUACUGUCAGCUGAAAGAAGUCAUGAGAAAGGUUUGCAUCUACGAGCUAGUAGGACUUGUAAGGCUUUCGAAAAGAUCGGCAAAGAUGUUCGUACUGUCAACAGAUCAGCGAUUUUCCUUGCAUAGCCGGGCGUAAAAUGCCUUGCCUGAUGGAGGCUUAAAUUUUGGAGAUCAACAAUGGCAACAAUUCCGUUUAUCUGAACAUCGAAAUUCGAAGCGAGCUGCUGGAGGCAAAAGACGUUGCAGCGGAAAAUGUCGUCGAGGGAUAAUUUGUUCGGAUUCCAUCGUCCUAAUUUCACAAAGUUACUUGACGCAAAUGCUGUAAAAUGUACCGGACUGUGGAUUGAGUUUCAAAGUUAGAAGACCCGAUUUUCCCAGCGAAACAAAAACAAACAAUACAAGAAGAGGGCGAUUUCAAAGUCCAAUGCGAAGCACGUGAACUAAGCAUGAAUGAUAGACAUCGUUUCUAUUUUUCAAAUGAGGCAUGUGCUGGAACAUGUAGUGCUAAAACUUACUUGACAAAUUUUCUCGUAAAUAUUGCUACGUGGACUUAGCCAGCCGGAUUUGAGUUGUCAACUGUGUUCAACCACAAGAACGUGCGAACUACUAAUAGCUUCGUCUUCUGCCACUUGUUUGACGCCCUUGAAAAGGCUUUCAGAUGCCCCUCUGUUAUGUAGCCUUGAAGCGUCUUCCUUGGUCGCGUGGAUACACACGGAAGAACAAGAACCGCCUCUUUUGAGCUUCUUAUUUCGUCGCCAUCAUAAUAAAGUUUUCUGCUAAUCUGUUC
Daphnia carinata is the source of this 1026-nucleotide long non-coding RNA. RefSeq lists it as uncharacterized. The transcript has 4 exons. The record is from RefSeq and is a predicted model, not a curated record. NCBI's taxonomy places the organism in Eukaryota, Metazoa, Arthropoda, Branchiopoda, Diplostraca, Daphniidae.